UACAGAGGUCCCGAGCGUUGUUCGGAUUCAUUGGGCGUAAAGGGUGCGUAGGCGGCGGGGCAAGUCUGAUGUGAAAUCCCGGGGCUCAACCCCGGAACUGCAUUGGAUACUGCCUUGCUAGAGUACUGGAGAGGGAACUGGAAUUUACGGUGUAGCAGUGAAGUGCGUAGAGAUCGUAAGGAAGGCCAGUGGCGAAGGCGAGUUCCUGGACAGUGACUAACGCUGAGGCACGAAAGCGUGGGGAGCGAACAGG
This 253-nucleotide ribosomal RNA is filed under the name uncultured bacterium. RNAcentral's name for it is "partial 16S ribosomal RNA". It matches the Rfam family "Bacterial small subunit ribosomal RNA", at positions 524 to 776 of the family's 1533-position model. The record is from RNAcentral.